RNAcentral lists this ribosomal RNA (1551 nucleotides) under Klebsiella pneumoniae. RNAcentral describes it as "bacterial SSU rRNA". It matches the Rfam family "Bacterial small subunit ribosomal RNA". The record is from RNAcentral. Lineage: Bacteria; Pseudomonadati; Pseudomonadota; Gammaproteobacteria; Enterobacterales; Enterobacteriaceae.
AAAUUGAAGAGUUUGAUCAUGGCUCAGAUUGAACGCUGGCGGCAGGCCUAACACAUGCAAGUCGAGCGGUAGCACAGAGAGCUUGCUCUCGGGUGACGAGCGGCGGACGGGUGAGUAAUGUCUGGGAAACUGCCUGAUGGAGGGGGAUAACUACUGGAAACGGUAGCUAAUACCGCAUAACGUCGCAAGACCAAAGUGGGGGACCUUCGGGCCUCAUGCCAUCAGAUGUGCCCAGAUGGGAUUAGCUAGUAGGUGGGGUAACGGCUCACCUAGGCGACGAUCCCUAGCUGGUCUGAGAGGAUGACCAGCCACACUGGAACUGAGACACGGUCCAGACUCCUACGGGAGGCAGCAGUGGGGAAUAUUGCACAAUGGGCGCAAGCCUGAUGCAGCCAUGCCGCGUGUGUGAAGAAGGCCUUCGGGUUGUAAAGCACUUUCAGCGGGGAGGAAGGCGAUAAGGUUAAUAACCUUGUCGAUUGACGUUACCCGCAGAAGAAGCACCGGCUAACUCCGUGCCAGCAGCCGCGGUAAUACGGAGGGUGCAAGCGUUAAUCGGAAUUACUGGGCGUAAAGCGCACGCAGGCGGUCUGUCAAGUCGGAUGUGAAAUCCCCGGGCUCAACCUGGGAACUGCAUUCGAAACUGGCAGGCUAGAGUCUUGUAGAGGGGGGUAGAAUUCCAGGUGUAGCGGUGAAAUGCGUAGAGAUCUGGAGGAAUACCGGUGGCGAAGGCGGCCCCCUGGACAAAGACUGACGCUCAGGUGCGAAAGCGUGGGGAGCAAACAGGAUUAGAUACCCUGGUAGUCCACGCCGUAAACGAUGUCGAUUUGGAGGUUGUGCCCUUGAGGCGUGGCUUCCGGAGCUAACGCGUUAAAUCGACCGCCUGGGGAGUACGGCCGCAAGGUUAAAACUCAAAUGAAUUGACGGGGGCCCGCACAAGCGGUGGAGCAUGUGGUUUAAUUCGAUGCAACGCGAAGAACCUUACCUGGUCUUGACAUCCACAGAACUUUCCAGAGAUGGAUUGGUGCCUUCGGGAACUGUGAGACAGGUGCUGCAUGGCUGUCGUCAGCUCGUGUUGUGAAAUGUUGGGUUAAGUCCCGCAACGAGCGCAACCCUUAUCCUUUGUUGCCAGCGGUCCGGCCGGGAACUCAAAGGAGACUGCCAGUGAUAAACUGGAGGAAGGUGGGGAUGACGUCAAGUCAUCAUGGCCCCUUACGACCAGGGCUACACACGUGCUACAAUGGCAUAUACAAAGAGAAGCGACCUCGCGAGAGCAAGCGGACCUCAUAAAGUAUGUCGUAGUCCGGAUUGGAGUCUGCAACUCGACUCCAUGAAGUCGGAAUCGCUAGUAAUCGUAGAUCAGAAUGCUACGGUGAAUACGUUCCCGGGCCUUGUACACACCGCCCGUCACACCAUGGGAGUGGGUUGCAAAAGAAGUAGGUAGCUUAACCUUCGGGAGGGCGCUUACCACUUUGUGAUUCAUGACUGGGGUGAAGUCGUAACAAGGUAACCGUAGGGGAACCUGCGGUUGGAUCACCUCCUUACCUUAAAGAA